AGAGUUUGAUCCUGGCUCAGAACGAACGCUGGCGGCAGGCCUAACACAUGCAAGUCGAAGGAGAAGUUUCUCUUCGGAGAGAUGGACACUGGCGCACGGGUGAGUAACGCGUGGGGAUCUACCCCGGGGUGGGGGACAACCGCUGGAAACGGCGGCUAAUACCGCAUACGCCUUAAGAGGGAAAGCUUUAGCGCCCUGGGAUGAACCCGCGUUAGAUUAGGUAGUUGGUGGGGUAACGGCCUACCAAGCCGACGAUCUAUAGCUGGUCUGAGAGGAUGAUCAGCCACACUGGGACUGAGACACGGCCCAGACUCCUACGGGAGGCAGCAGUGGGGAAUAUUGGACAAUGGGGGCAACCCUGAUCCAGCCAUGCCGCGUGCGUGAAGAAGGCCUUAGGGUUGUAAAGCGCUUUCACUGGUGAAGAUGAUGACGGUAGCCAGAGAAGAAGCCCCGGCUAACUCCGUGCCAGCAGCCGCGGUAAUACGGAGGGGGCAAGCGUUGUUCGGAAUUACUGGGCGUAAAGGGCGCGUAGGCGGAAUAUCAAGUUAGGGGUGAAAGGCCUGGGCUCAACCUAGGAACGGCCUCUAAAACUGAUAAUCUAGAGUCCGGAAGAGGAUGGCGGAAUUCCUAGUGUAGAGGU
RNAcentral lists this ribosomal RNA (640 nucleotides) under uncultured Alphaproteobacteria bacterium. RNAcentral describes it as "bacterial SSU rRNA". It matches the Rfam family "Bacterial small subunit ribosomal RNA", at positions 8 to 682 of the family's 1533-position model. Lineage: Bacteria; Pseudomonadati; Pseudomonadota; Alphaproteobacteria. The record is from RNAcentral.